ACCAGUCUGGGGUGUGCGUUGUUGGUUACGUCCCUGAGCCGAUAAUUUAAAACUUUGAGUUGGACAUCCAGUUGUUGGUGAGCAUGCUUACUUUAAGUAAGAAGCCUAAAAACAAAUACGUUCGACUCCCUUGAACCUUCUGGUUCAAGGACUAUUACCGAUAGCGGCACUUCGGACACCUC
Non-coding RNA from Haemophilus parahaemolyticus HK385, 182 nucleotides. The record is from Rfam. Lineage: Bacteria; Pseudomonadati; Pseudomonadota; Gammaproteobacteria; Pasteurellales; Pasteurellaceae.